Molecule: ribosomal RNA, 253 nt
Filed under: Blautia luti
Lineage: Bacteria; Bacillati; Bacillota; Clostridia; Lachnospirales; Lachnospiraceae
Description: partial 16S ribosomal RNA
Rfam family: Bacterial small subunit ribosomal RNA
Source: RNAcentral
UACGUAGGGGGCAAGCGUUAUCCGGAUUUACUGGGUGUAAAGGGAGCGUAGACGGAUGGACAAGUCUGAUGUGAAAGGCUGGGGCUCAACCACGGGACUGCAUUGGAAACUGCCCGUCUUGAGUGCCGGAGAGGUAAGCGGAAUUCCUAGUGUAGCGGUGAAAUGCGUAGAUAUUAGGAGGAACACCAGUGGCGAAGGCGGCUUACUGGACGGUAACUGACGUUGAGGCUCGAAAGCGUGGGGAGCAAACAGG